RNAcentral lists this ribosomal RNA (325 nucleotides) under uncultured eukaryote. RNAcentral describes it as "partial 18S ribosomal RNA". It matches the Rfam family "Eukaryotic small subunit ribosomal RNA", at positions 1470 to 1796 of the family's 1831-position model. The record is from RNAcentral.
CCCUUAGAUGUUCUGGGCCGCACACGCGCUACACUGAAGGAGGCAGCGUGUACUCCUGGAUCGAAAGAUUUGGGUAACCCGCGAAUCUCCUUCGUGCUAGGGAUUGAGGUUUGCAAUUAUCCUUCAUGAACGAGGAAUUCCCAGUAAGUGCAAGUCAUAAGCUUGCGCUGACUACGUCCCUGCCCUUUGUACACACCGCCCGUCGCUCCUACCGAUUGAAUGGUCCGGUGAAGCGUUCGGACCGUGGCCUUUGGACGGUUCGCCGUCUGUUGGCUGCGGGAAGUUCGUUAAACCUUAUCAUUUAGAGGAAGGAGAAGUCGUAACA